GAUGAACGCUGGCGGCGUGCCUAAUACAUGCAAGUCGAGCGAACGGACGAGAAGCUUGCUUCUCUGAUGUUAGCGGCGGACGGGUGAGUAACACGUGUAUAACCUACCUAUAAGACUGGGAUAACUUCGGGAAACCGGAGCUAAUACCGGAUAAUAUUUUGAACCGCAUGGUUCAAAAGUGAAAGACGGUCUUGCUGUCACUUAUAGAUGGAUCCGCGCUGCAUUAGCUAGUUGGUAAGGUAACGGCUUACCACGGCAACGAUGCAUAGCCGACCUGAGAGGCUGGUCGGCCACACUAGAGCUGGGACACGGUCCAGACUCCUACGGGAGGCAGCAGUAGGGAAUCUUCCGCAAUGGGCGAAAGCCUGACGGAGCAACGCCGCGUGAGUGAUGAAGGUCUUCGGAUCGUAAAACUCUGUUAUUAGGGAAGAACAGAUGUGUAAGUAACUGUGCACAUCUUGACGGUACCUAAUCAGAAAGCCACGGCUAACUACGUG
Molecule: ribosomal RNA, 497 nt
Filed under: uncultured bacterium
Lineage: Bacteria
Description: partial 16S ribosomal RNA
Rfam family: Bacterial small subunit ribosomal RNA
Source: RNAcentral